UACGUAGGAGGCGAGCGUUGUCCGGAGUUACUGGGCGUAAAGGGUGCGCAGGCGGCGGUUCGCGUGGAUAGAUGAAAUCUCCUGGCUUACCUGGGAGGAUGGUAUCCAGACGGGAUCGCUUGAGGGUCGGAGAGGGGCGUGGAAUUCCGGGUGUAGCGGUGGAAUGCGUAGAGAUCCGGAAGAACACCGGUGGCGAAGGCGGUCUGCUGGGGUCGAACUGACGCUGAGGCGCGACAGCGUGGGGAGCAAACAGG
This 254-nucleotide ribosomal RNA is filed under the name uncultured bacterium. RNAcentral's name for it is "partial 16S ribosomal RNA". It matches the Rfam family "Bacterial small subunit ribosomal RNA", at positions 524 to 776 of the family's 1533-position model. The record is from RNAcentral.